RNAcentral lists this long non-coding RNA (1284 nucleotides) under Oryctolagus cuniculus (rabbit). RNAcentral describes it as "lncRNA (ENSOCUG00000038064.1)". Lineage: Eukaryota; Metazoa; Chordata; Mammalia; Lagomorpha; Leporidae. The record is from RNAcentral.
AUGCUGAGGCAGGAAGGGUACACUGGGAUCGGUCCCCCAGAAACCCUUGGGCUGCUCAUGGCACAGGAUGCGACUAGACAGUGCCACUGCACAGUUGCCAUGUGCACCAAUGCUGCCACUGGCGUGCUAUGUGAGCCUGGGCCGUCUACACCAUCUCCCUGCGCCUUGGCCACCAGGUCAGGGAGUGACGUCCCGGGCCAUGCUCCGCCCCCAGCUUUGUGCCAGCUCUACCCUGCAUCACAGAACAGAACCAUGUGUCUCCCCCACAACACGAGCACCCUCCCUCCAGAUGUCUGCUCUCAGCCGACACCCAGCAUGGAGACGUUUGCGCACAUCUGCAUGGCGCAGCCUGGCUCGCUCUGCAAAGCCCAGAUGUUUGGGCAGUGUGUGGACUCCCCUUUCCGGCCUCCCAGGAGUGGGGUGGGGGGCGCGGCGUGCUGUGUGGAACAUCUGUGGUUGCAGGGAGCCCAGCCCUGGCCCUCACUAAGGCGGGCCUCUGACCAGGGGCCCUCCACAUACGAGAUGGGGGUGGAGACAGUCACCUCGGCUUCUGGCACCCCAGGGCCUGCAGAAUGUGACAGCCAGCUGGCCCCCUUGCCAGGAGGCAGGCAGGGGUGGAGAGACACUCAGGGCUGGUGGGGGGCACGGGGACCUCUGCAGAGCUGGAGCUUGGGGGCAGGAGUGAGACCUGGUUCUGGCCCUGGCUCAGCCGUCCGAUUACUGUGUGCCUCCCUCCUUCGGCCUGGCUUCCCACAUCUGCGCAGUGUGGGGCCUGGGCAUCCAGCCCCCGUGCCCAUGGAAAGCCUGGCAGAUGCCAGCCCUCCCUCCCUGGUCAGCACCACCACUGAUUCUGGUUCACCAGGUGUGCACUGGGUGUGCUGCGCCAGGGACUCUGACCCAAGCCCCGAGGUGUGCCUCCAGGUAUGGGAACCUGCUGACCUGCGGGGGCCUCCAUGGUGCUCAUGGUCGCUCCGGGAGGCUGGAAUCAGCCUGCUCUGGCCUCCAGACAAGCACAGGUGGGCAGAGAUGUCUGCAGAACACCGGGAGCCUGGGUGGUGCCAGCAGCAUGAGGAUGGGCAGGAAGACGUGUGUAUGCCCCAGGGGGUCUGGGUGUGCUCCUCUGUGUGGUGGGGACUGUGUGCCUGGGUGCACAUGUCAUCACUGCCUUGUGUGAACAUGUGUGUCAUCAAUGCCAUGUGUAUGCUUGUGUGCGUGAGUGUGUGUGUCAUCAACACCGUGUGCUUGCUCCCCAGACUGGGUUCUUGCCACCCCACCGCUCCCUGA